UACGGGGGGAGCAAGCGUUGUUCGGAUUUACUGGGCGUAAAGGGCGCGUAGGCGGUCGUGACAAGUCACUUGUGAAAUCUCCGGGCUUAACUCGGAACGGUCAAGUGAUACUGUCGGACUAGAGUACUGAAGGGGCAACUGGAAUUCUCGGUGUAGCGGUGAAAUGCGUAGAUAUCGAGAGGAACACCUGCGGCGAAGGCGGGUUGCUGGGCUGAUACUGACGCUGAGGCGCGAAAGCCAGGGGAGCGAACGGG
Molecule: ribosomal RNA, 254 nt
Filed under: uncultured bacterium
Lineage: Bacteria
Description: partial 16S ribosomal RNA
Rfam family: Bacterial small subunit ribosomal RNA
Source: RNAcentral